GACGUCAGCUGAGGCGCGCCCCUGUGAUAUCUCACAGGCCCGCCCCUUCUGUAGAACCAAUCGGAACUCGAGGCGCAGCGGCUGGGUAUUCCAGGAGAGCGCAUGCGCAGACGCAUGGCCACAGACUGCCGGUCAGUGUCAGCAGGCGGUGGGUUAGGGUCCGCAGGCCCAGACCAGGCCGCCGACACCAAUAAGCUACAAGGAGGAGCUUUACCGCUGCCUGUACUACUACUGCCUGCGCUACUUCCCAGCCUGCGGCGUAGGGCGCAGCAAGGGCCUGACGCUUAGCGAGCAGGCGCUGCGCACCAAGCGGCUGUCGCCUGGAGGGCACGUUCAGGCAGAAGCUCCUCAGUGGCCACAAGUCCGCUAGCUCCGGCUACAGCCCUUGCCGCACACUCGCGUCACCUGAGCCUGUGUAGGAUGCCGAAGGACCUGUUCAAAGUAUUUUCUGUAACUCCAACUGUAACUUGGUUCUAGGAGGAGAGAAUCCAUGUUUGGUCAACAGAACUUUUCGCCGCCACUUAAGUUUACUGCUUCAAUAUCUUUUCCUUACUAAUUGAUUGUUAAUUAAGUAGUGUCCAAGUGAGUUAGCCUUUUUAGGGUUGAUUAAUUAAAAGAGCAGCAAGAAUGGCAUUUUAACUCU
This is a long non-coding RNA of Homo sapiens (human), 643 nucleotides long. Ensembl annotates it as long intergenic non-protein coding RNA 3011. Lineage: Eukaryota; Metazoa; Chordata; Mammalia; Primates; Hominidae. The record is from Ensembl.